ACCCGCUGAACUUAAGCAUAUCAAUAAGCGGAGGAAAAGAAACCAACAGGGAUUGCCCUAGUAACGGCGAGUGAAGCGGCAACAGCUCAAAUUUGAAAUCUGGCGUCUUUGGCGUCCGAGUUGUAAUUUGCAGAGGGCGCUUUGGCAUUGGCAGCGGUCCAAGUUCCUUGGAACAGGACGUCACAGAGGGUGAGAAUCCCGUACGUGGUCGCUAGCCUUUACCGUGUAAAGCCCCUUCGACGAGUCGAGUUGUUUGGGAAUGCAGCUCUAAAUGGGAGGUAAAUUUCUUCUAAAGCUAAAUACUGGCCAGAGACCGAUAGCGCACAAGUAGAGUGAUCGAAAGAUGAAAAGCACUUUGGAGAGAGAGUUAAAAAGCACGUGAAAUUGUUGAAAGGGAAGCGCUUGCAGCCAGACUUGCCUGUAGUUGCUCAUCCGGGUUUUUACCCGGUGCACUCUUCUAUAGGCAGGCCAGCAUCAGUUUGGGCGGUUGGAUAAAGGUCUCUGUCAUGUACCUCUCUUCGGGGAGAACUUAUAGGGGAGACGACAUGCAACCAGCCCGGACUGAGGUCCGCGCAUCUGCUAGGAUGCUGGCGUAAUGGCUGU
Molecule: ribosomal RNA, 603 nt
Filed under: uncultured fungus
Lineage: Eukaryota; Fungi
Description: eukaryotic LSU rRNA
Rfam family: Eukaryotic large subunit ribosomal RNA
Source: RNAcentral